GUGGGGAAUAUUGGACAAUGGGCGAAAGCCUGAUCCAGCCAUGCCGCGUGUGUGAAGAAGGUCUUCGGAUUGUAAAGCACUUUAAGUUGGGAGGAAGGGCAGUAAGUUAAUACCUUGCUGUUUUGACGUUACCGACGGAAUAAGCACCGGCUAACUUCGUGCCAGCAGCCGCGGUAAUACGAAGGGUGCAAGCGUUAAUCGGAAUUACUGGGCGUAAAGCGCGCGUAGGUGGUUUUGUAAGUUGGAGGUGAAAUCCACGGGCUCAACCUGGGAACUGCCUCCAAAACUGCAUGACUAGAGUACGGUAGAGGGUAGUGGAAUUUCCUGUGUAGCGGUGAAAUGCGUAGAUAUAGGAAGGAACACCAGUGGCGAAGGCGACUACCUGGACUGAUACUGACACUGAGGUGCGAAAGCGUGGGGAGCAAACAGGAUUAGAAACCCGGGUAGUCC
This 450-nucleotide ribosomal RNA is filed under the name uncultured bacterium. RNAcentral describes it as "bacterial SSU rRNA". It matches the Rfam family "Bacterial small subunit ribosomal RNA", at positions 354 to 796 of the family's 1533-position model. The record is from RNAcentral.